CCGCGCUUUCAAAGCGCGGGAUUAUCUUAUUUUGAAAUAUAUUUUAUUUAUAACAUGUAUAACAUGUAUAUUUUUUAAUCAGUGUUUUAUGUUAUAUUUUUAGUAGUGGUUUUAUAUAAUUAGGAUGAUAAGUAACUAUAUAUAAAUAUAAAAAUAUAUAAUCUUGAUGCUAAUAUAAUAGUAUAGAUGUAUACAUAUAUAUAUAUAUAUGUAUUAAUAGUUGAGAGGUUUUGAAAGAGUUCAAAUAUUAAGUGGGUUUUUUUAAUAUUAUCAGACAUAUUUUACUUCUUGAUGUACUCUUGACUGUCCUUAUUACUUUCAUACGGCAUUAGAGUUUUGUCAUCCCCAGUAUCCCUUACAAAAAUAUACUCUCAAAGUUAGUAUGAUAGACAAAUAACUACUGUAAAAUAAACAAAAGAUCAUCCCCUUACAUAUCUUUAAAUGCUUCUGCGUCUGGUAUUGCAGGGUUGAUGAUUAUUUGAGAAGCAUCAAAGGAGUUAGAGAUUUGUACUUCUCCUGUUGUGGAUACGAUUUAGUAGAUUAGAUAUUAGACAGGCUUAUGUAUAUAAUAAUUGUUAUUUUUUUAACGAAAUCUAUAGGAGUUCAAAUAUGUACCUCUAAACUUUCCAAUUUUUGCAAACCUCAGAAGCAAAGUAACCAAACCAUCGUCUUGAUUGCAGGCAGAAUGGAGAGUGUCGGUUAACUUGCCCCAAAUACAGCAUGGUAUUCUUGAAUCACUACCUCACAAGUAAAAAAAGCGAGAUAUGGUUUGUUGUGCGAUAUGCUCCUCCAGCAGGCCUGACUUGGAAGUUUCUGAUGUUGCGCCAUACUCCAACCAGAAGAAGUCUUCCUUUACUCUCAAAGUAAGUCUUUUUGCAGCUUGCAUGGAUUUUAUGCCCCUUGUACAUGUUACAAUUAAAUAAAAUAGAAAUAUUAACAUCAUUUAAUAUCAAUGCUCAAGUUACACAAUUUUUUUAAAAAAAACACUAUUCUAUUGAAAAAGUUUGGAUUGCUUACAUUCUCAUCAGCCAAUAUGAAUUCCAUGGUUUCCCCCCCCCCCCCCCCCCCCCCCCCCCCCCUGAUUGAUGUUUUGUGACCAGGAAUGUAGAAACCUUGACAUGAACCAUUUUAGUAGUGUGCUUUGGCUUCAAGUCGCUGAUGGCGGUGAUUUGUUCAGUAGAAUCAUUUGCUGUGUUGUUGAGCGCUUUAGAAGCCAUUCUUUUGGUUUUGCGGUAUGAGUGUUUUAGGAUGAGGCGUGGGUAUUUAUAAUAGGAAGAGGUUAUAGGAAGAGUAGAUUAGGUUAUUUGAAAACUUGUAGGCUACUCUAAAUAUUUGCGAGAUCUUUAUCGUUAAUAGUACUAAAUGCAGUUACCAGAAAUGUUUAAAAUAUAUUCUGUGAGUAAGUUACACGCAAUCUAGAUUAUAGGAAGAUAUUUCUGAACUUUGAAUGUAGCCUCUGUGUAUCUUCAUUUUCUAAAUUUGGUUAUACAUUUAUUUGCACCGUGAUUGUAGGCGCUACAUACCUUCCACCUUUUAAUCGGAAAAUCUUAUAGGGAAUAUUAUGUUGUUAAAAUUAUAGUUACAAUAGAUAUGGUAUCGAAACUCUAUAUUAGGAAAAAACAAUCAGUUAUUUUAAAAUAAACCGUAUCUAUUAGAUAUGGGAUUGGUUAAUUUUUAAAAUAAUUGAAUAAACUAACCAUUAGGUUAUGUUUUAAAAAUCUUUAUCUGUAAAAAACAUGAGAAUGCGUAUGAAUACGUUAGGGUAUAAGGUUU
Molecule: long non-coding RNA, 1773 nt
Organism: Brassica rapa (field mustard)
Lineage: Eukaryota; Viridiplantae; Streptophyta; Magnoliopsida; Brassicales; Brassicaceae
Source: RefSeq, a predicted model, not a curated record